UUAAGAAUUAGAAGACAAAAAAAAAAAGGUCAGCACUCCGGUACCCAUCAAAUUUUAUGGGGUACCGGUACCCAUGUGACAUGUAAUGUUUUGAUUGGUCCACUUAAUUUAUAUUAAUUUUAUUAUAAACAAUUAUUAUAUUAAUAAAUAUUAUACUAAUAAAUUUAUGAAAUUGUAACAUCUCCCACAACCUCACUUUCUAUUCUUCAUUUUCGUUAUUUCAAACAUACUCCCCUGUAACCGUCGACUUGACUUUCUUCUUCGUCUUCUCUAAAUUUCUCUGCAACUGAUUUUAUUGAGUAUUAGAAAAGAGAAGAGUAUCUCGCAGUUACCGACGACAUCCUUCCGCCACACCUCUUCUUUAUCGAAUCGCCCUUUGUGGUUCUUCUGAUGCCGGAAUAGUACAUAAGAAAGUUGUUGAAACGGUAAAAGCACCAGCAGCAUUGGGACCAUAUUCCCCAGCAAACAAAGUCAAUAGCCUUCUAUUUGUAUCUGGUGUACUUCGCCUUGUUCCCAGAUAAUAAAUGGGACAAGAGUAAUCAAUGUAAAGUUGACGUUCAAUCCAUAAAUAUUACAAUUUGUUAAGCAAACAUGAAUUAUGGUGGAGAUAUUAAUGAUGUGAAAAAUGAUAUUACCUUUGGAAACAAAAAGUGAUGUGAAUAGAGGCAAAAAUAAUGUUACAAUAUGGAGUAUAUGCUGGAAUACUAUUUUGUACGUAGUUUUGGAGUGAAUUAUAGAUACUAGAGUGGUGUGAGUGGAGGAGGAUAAUAGGAGUGGUGGUGAGCAGUUAUUGAGUGGUUAAGUUACUUACUACUGGAAAAUGCUUGAUGAGGUGAACGUGUUCAUCGAAUUUCACGGAAAAUGUUGAAUGGUAUGAUUAAGUUGUUCACUAUAAAUGUUGAAUGCUAGGUCUUUAUGUAUAAGUUUUAAUAGAAGGUAAAAUAAUCUAUCAUACUCUUACGGUCGGUGUAUAUUGAUCCGAGCUACUCAUACGCUGUCUUAGUUCCCGCUCUUGGUGCAAUAAAAGUUGUUCGGGCUCUUUCACUCCUAAAUUCAAGCAGUGAGCUUGCUUUGGCAAAUAAUAUGUAUUAACCGGCUACUCCAA
Molecule: long non-coding RNA, 1105 nt
Organism: Vicia villosa (hairy vetch)
Lineage: Eukaryota; Viridiplantae; Streptophyta; Magnoliopsida; Fabales; Fabaceae
Exons: 3
Source: RefSeq, a predicted model, not a curated record